Molecule: ribosomal RNA, 546 nt
Filed under: uncultured Actinomyces sp.
Lineage: Bacteria; Bacillati; Actinomycetota; Actinomycetes; Actinomycetales; Actinomycetaceae
Description: bacterial SSU rRNA
Rfam family: Bacterial small subunit ribosomal RNA
Source: RNAcentral
CCGGUUUGGGUGUGGAUGAGUGGCGAACGGGUGAGUAACACGUGAGUAACCUGCCCCCUUCUUCUGGAUAACCGCAUGAAAGUGUGGCUAAUACGGGAUAUUCUGGGUCUGUCGCAUGGCGGGUCUGGGAAAGAUGCGCCUUUGGGUGUUUUUGUGGGGGAUGGGCUCGCGGCCUAUCAGCUUGUUGGUGGGGUGAUGGCCUACCAAGGCGGUGACGGGUAGCCGGCCUGAGAGGGUGGACGGUCACACUGGGACUGAGACACGGCCCAGACUCCUACGGGAGGCAGCAGUGGGGAAUAUUGCACAAUGGGCGCAAGCCUGAUGCAGCGACGCCGCGUGAGGGAUGGAGGCCUUCGGGUUGUAAACCUCUUUCGCCAGUGAAGCAGGCCUGCUCCUUGUGGGUGGGUUGACGGUAGCUGGAUAAGAAGCGCCGGCUAACUACGUGCCAGCAGCCGCGGUAAUACGUAGGGCGCGAGCGUUGUCCGGAAUUAUUGGGCGUAAAGAGCUCGUAGGCGGUUUGUCGCGUCUGUCGUGAAAGUCCGGGGC